RNAcentral lists this non-coding RNA (29 nucleotides) under Mus musculus (house mouse). The record is from RNAcentral. Lineage: Eukaryota; Metazoa; Chordata; Mammalia; Rodentia; Muridae.
UCUCUAUGCCUUAUUUUCCUAAAGGGAGA